UACAGAGGUCCCAAGCGUUGUUCGGAUUCACUGGGCGUAAAGGGUGCGUAGGCGGUCGGGUAAGUCUGACGUGAAAUCUUCAAGCUCAACUUGGAAACUGCGUCCGAUACUAUUCGGCUAGAGGAAUGGAGGGGAGACUGGAAUACUUGGUGUAGCAGUGAAAUGCGUAGAUAUCAAGUGGAACACCAGUGGCGAAGGCGAGUCUCUGGACAGUUCCUGACGCUGAGGCACGAAGGCCAGGGGAGCGAACGGG
RNAcentral lists this ribosomal RNA (253 nucleotides) under uncultured bacterium. Its description in RNAcentral is "partial 16S ribosomal RNA". It matches the Rfam family "Bacterial small subunit ribosomal RNA", at positions 524 to 776 of the family's 1533-position model. The record is from RNAcentral.